This 117-nucleotide ribosomal RNA is filed under the name Microtus ochrogaster (prairie vole). The record is from RNAcentral. Lineage: Eukaryota; Metazoa; Chordata; Mammalia; Rodentia; Cricetidae.
GUCUACAGCCUUAUCACCCUGACUGCAUGAUCUUGUCUGAUCUUGGAAGCUAAGCAGGACUGGGCCUGGCUGGUACAUGGAUGGGAGACCUUCUGUGUACUUCAACAUCUAUCCUCC